Long non-coding RNA from Pleuronectes platessa (European plaice), 2236 nucleotides. RefSeq lists it as uncharacterized. The record is from RefSeq and is a predicted model, not a curated record. The transcript is spliced from 3 exons. Lineage: Eukaryota; Metazoa; Chordata; Actinopteri; Pleuronectiformes; Pleuronectidae.
ACGGGACCAAUGAGAAGUCACGAUGAAACUUUGUAAACAAGUCUCACACGCUGCUUUAAAGCUCCUCGCGUGCGGAAAGUCCGAGAAAUGACGCAGGCGAGCGACCCUCGGCUCCGAGAACAGACAAUCCAGAUGUGAAAUCAAACACCAGUAUUCAUGAAGACACAGAGGAAUAAUAUGAUGGAAAGCAGAAGGAUAAGCAGCACCAAAGAGCCUGCCAGCCAGUUGUGGCUCACCCCCCAUAGGAGCUCAUGCCUGGGUCAAGCGCCCCCCCCCUCUUGGCACACCUGGGUGUCAUGAUAAACAUGGCGGAAAUAAGCGAAGAAGAAGAUCUGACCCCACGUGUGAGCCUUCAAUGUGGCAGCCAGCCUCUGAAUGAAGAUGGAUGGGAACUCCAGGUUUUGUUGGAGCAGGAAUGUCAGACAGACACAGAUUGAAGACAAUGAAAUGAAACCCCACUAUUCUUCACCCUGUCUCCCCACCUGCCCUCCUGAUAUUAACUGUGGCCCCACCAGGACCCCACAUUCCCAGAGACACACCUGGAUCGGGCCUGUUAUCCAUAAAAUACAUGUUAACACAUGAGCAGCGGCUCGUGCUUUUUAAAGAAUUUAACACAGCUGUUUUAUAGGCUCGCUGUACGGGGGAAGGUUUCACUAAUCCUUGACUCUACCGUCAUAUUCACCCGAGAUGUCACGUCAAAUAAAAGAUGAAUGGAUGACUUGUACGUCAACCGUCGUGCUUUGAAUCACAGGAACCGUUUCAAACUUUUUAUUUUCCGUUUGGAACGAGUCACACUCCUGGUCUCAGGCGCUGCGUUCAGACUGAUAAGUGUCCACACACCUUUCCCUGCCGCGGUUGAUGUGGAGCGGUCAUGCCACUGCAAACACUGAUGUGAAAGGGAGCCAACGGAAAUAACACCAGCCGCCCGUCCUCUCCUCUCUCCACCCCGGCUGAUAAGAUUAGGCCGCUGUGGCCUCUAUCAACUCUGGUCCUAAUUGUUCAGCACCAGUCUCGUGCUUUAUUGAUAACAGAUGGCUAAUUUUUUAACAGAUAUACGACUGAAGUUUGAGAUGACACAUUAGGGCUGGGCAAUAAAAUAAUGUUGAUUAUUAUUACAGUAUAAUUGAAUAAGAGGCAGCGGAUCAGCGACACAGCCUUCAAGGGCUGCACACGUACUUAGUUUGACCUUUAGCUGAGUUCUGACGUGGUUAUAAUUGUUGAUUUUUUAUAUUUCUGUUUCAAUGCAAUUGUUUUUAUGAACUCCUUUUACACACGCCCCCGUCUAUCAUGCAUUAACAAUUUCAAAUGAAUCAAAAUCAAAUCAUAGCGAAUAAAUCAAGCAGCAAAUUUCCCCGCCUACUUUAUUACAAUUAAAACGCCCCACAGUUUGGUCUUUCACAGUCUGAAGGUUUCUUUUUUAUGAUAAGAUUUUCAUAAUGAUACGUAAGACUUUGCACAAUUGAAGCUUGUGUUCGAUGAAUGGAAACAGACGAUCACGUAUUUUUUAUUUAAACCAUAAACUUAAAUGAAAAUGGGGGUUUUACCCCUGAAGGUCCAGAAAGUGAAAACAUGAGUUGUAACCAGGACAUGAAAGUAUGAUCAGUAAUUUAAAGUCUGUGAACAGGUGAAAGAAACUGAAGCUGCUGUUCAAAUCACAUGCUCUCGUUCUUAAGGUGUUAAGCUGUGGGAAUUUCUUUGUGUUUAGAAAAGACAAAGGUGUUUUCAGAAAUUAAUCUUGAUUCAGUGAGUUUGAAGUUUCCACCGCUCACACGUUUAAUCCUUAUAUUCAAAUGUUCUCUCUCCCACGUUCUGCACAUAAUAAGACUGUCGGUGUGUUUCCUAUCACCCCCAUGUUUCCGAGUCAGUUUUUCCUGUUUUGAAUUUGAUCAUUUUCACAUUGUCACACCUCCACUUGGUCCUCACCCUCAUCGGCCACAGGUUUCUGAUUGAAAACGUCCUAAACUCUGCUCUGUGCUGUUGUUCAGUUGGCUGGUUGUUCUGCGGUUAACACACAGCUGGCACACACACACACACACACACACACACACACAAUAAGAGGGUGGGCUGUGUGCACAGAAUGUGACAAUUAUCUAUAUAAGAUGACAACCUUGUUAUGUUAUUGAUAAACCAUUGCACACCUCACAUUUUACACAAACCUUCCCACACAUCAUUAUCAUUAAACCAUUUAACCCCCCCCCCCCCCUCCCCCCCUCUAAAAUCACAGAAAAUAUGAUUC